This 253-nucleotide ribosomal RNA is filed under the name uncultured bacterium. RNAcentral's name for it is "partial 16S ribosomal RNA". It matches the Rfam family "Bacterial small subunit ribosomal RNA", at positions 524 to 776 of the family's 1533-position model. The record is from RNAcentral.
UACGGGGGGGGUAAGCGUUGUUCGGAAUUACUGGGCGUAAAGGGCUCGUAGGCGGCCAACUAAGUCAUACGUGAAAUCCCUCAGCUUAACUGGGGAACUGCGUGUGAUACUGGAUGGCUUGGAUUUGGGAGAGGGAUGCGGAAUUUCAGGUGUAGCGGUGAAAUGCGUAGAUAUCUGGAGGAACACCGGUGGCGAAGGCGGCAUCCUGGACCAAUAUUGACGCUGAGGAGCGAAAGCCAGGGGAGCAAACGGG